This 253-nucleotide ribosomal RNA is filed under the name uncultured bacterium. RNAcentral's name for it is "partial 16S ribosomal RNA". It matches the Rfam family "Bacterial small subunit ribosomal RNA", at positions 524 to 776 of the family's 1533-position model. The record is from RNAcentral.
UACGAAGGGGGCUAGCGUUGCUCGGAAUCACUGGGCGUAAAGCGCACGUAGGCGGAUUGCUAAGUCAGGGGUGAAAUCCUGGAGCUCAACUCCAGAACUGCCUUUGAUACUGGCGAUCUCGAGUUCGGGAGAGGUGAGUGGAACUGCGAGUGUAGAGGUGAAAUUCGUAGAUAUUCGCAAGAACACCAGUGGCGAAGGCGGCCAUCUGGACCGGCACUGACGCUGAGGCGCGAAAGCGUGGGGAGCAAACAGG